UUUAAAACAAAUGGAAAUAAUUUUUUAGAAGAAUGAGAGUAGAUAUUACAAAAGGCUUGAAUUAUGAAAAUAGGAAUCGACUUGUUUUAAACAAAUAUUAUAGAUCCGGUUAGUAUGAAGUUAUUUUUUUAGUAAGUUGGUCAAUUGACCAAUAAAAUACUGACACACAUACAACCACGCUUGCGUAUCACUAUUCUAUUGAUCAAUUGACCAACUUACCUCAAAAUAAACUUCAUAUUAACCCCUUCCAAAUAUUAUUCACAGUUAUGGUAAAUUUGUCCAAAACAAAUUCAAUGCCAAAUGCCUGCCAAUAAUUUCAGUCUUGUUAAUAUCAAUUGAAAAACUCCAGC
This 350-nucleotide long non-coding RNA is filed under the name Panax ginseng (ginseng). Its description in RNAcentral is "long non-coding RNA (PGIN_LNC015626)". The stretch from base 115 to 236 matches the Rfam family "MIR6135 microRNA precursor family". Lineage: Eukaryota; Viridiplantae; Streptophyta; Magnoliopsida; Apiales; Araliaceae. The record is from RNAcentral.